Molecule: long non-coding RNA, 1454 nt
Filed under: Gadus morhua (Atlantic cod)
Lineage: Eukaryota; Metazoa; Chordata; Actinopteri; Gadiformes; Gadidae
Description: lncRNA (ENSGMOG00000029851.1)
Source: RNAcentral
GAGAAGGAGAACUUCCUGAGGGAAUGCAUCAGCUGGGUGGCAAGCUGGCAGUUCAGAUCUCAGCGUAAGCCACCACCUUCCCAGCACGGAAUGUGCCUCUCCAUAAAAAGUGUCCUUCUUGUCCACAAGAGGUGCACAGAUACAGGAAUGAAGUAUCUGUGCACCUCAAAAUUGAACCAGGACUGCAUUGAGGUAGGUCAACACACUAUUACUUUGCAAAUAAAAAAGUUACUUGUUGAAAACUAGGAUUUUGACCACCUGCUUUUUUAUUUUUUAAGAACCUAUUCUCCUUGAUUCGGGGCAAAGGGGGGCACAAAUACAAUCCCAGUGAGAGGGAAUUCACCGCUGCACUCAGGGGUUUGAGUGUAGCCAACAUUUUACCUGCUCUUUCUGCAUCGACUUCAUCAAACUGCGAGCUGGAUGACGGGACAACCCUCCUAGCCAGUAUCUCAGAGGACGCAAUCCCCUCCACCUCAACAGCUCCAAUGACCUCAAUGGCCCUCCCUACCACCCUGACAACAGAGAUUGAGGAUGAAGAACUAGUGGUAUCGGACAUUGUGGAAGAUCAGACUGUUGGCGAUUGCAUCCAGGAGGAGGGCCUGUUCUACGUUGCUGGCUGGCUUGUCCGGGUCCUUCAAAAGGAGGAAAUUGUUCAGGCCUGUCCACACUGUGAGGUGCUGCUGUUGGGUGCCAGACAUCAGGACCACAGCUACGCCACAAGUGAGGACCACCCCUUCCUGGAGGCAAAAAAAUACACGGCAACGGCAAACCUAAUGAGGCCUUCGGAAGGGUUUUUCGCUGCCAUCCAGCUUUUGGAGGGGGAAUUUGGAUGGAACAUCGACGCUUUCUGGCCUCUCAUCCAGAUCACCAAAAAAAUGGAGAGGGCUCUGGGCAGUCUGGGGGUGUUCAAAAGCCUCUUCAGCUCACACCCUGAGCAUGCAAUUCUAUUGGAGACAAUAGCAAUAAAACAAAUUGUGAUGUGCAGGCUCGGGGGGGAAAUCCGUGAGAGGAACAGGAGGCUGAGCAAACAGCAAACGGCCAAAGCAGCUCAGAGAAAGCUGUCCACCUUCACGGCCUGAAUGGAGCUGGAGGAUCGUUGCUGUGUCUGGCUGUGGAGGGAGCUAGAUGGAGCGGUCUUCAAAUUAUUCCUGUGGAGAAUAUAAUAAUAAUAAAAAGAUUUAAAAAAAUUAAAAAUUAAAUAUAUAUCUUUUAGUAAAUGAUUUUAGUGAUCAUUUGAGGUUGUUCUUUUACUACAUGCAACGAUUGUUGUUUAUUAAUGUGUCCUUUAACAUUGCUCUACAUUGUUCUACGAAAGAAAAUCAAACUUCAAUUAAUGUGCCCCUGCAUUUUAACUGAGUCAAGUAGGUAUACACUUUGACCAGAGAAAAAUCAAUAACUUAAUGAUCGUGCGCUCCGUCUUCUUUUCAGCCAUCAUUAUUUCUUUUCUACAGGAU